Molecule: long non-coding RNA, 116 nt
Filed under: Mustela putorius furo (domestic ferret)
Lineage: Eukaryota; Metazoa; Chordata; Mammalia; Carnivora; Mustelidae
Description: lncRNA (ENSMPUG00000032081.1)
Source: RNAcentral
UGACAUUUGUCUUAUCCCACUGCUCGUCUGAAAUGCUGCUGAUAUGAUCGCCCCGGCUUUCUAGAGUCAAAAUCAUGAAAUCAGAAAUGCAACUCCAUCCGUCUACCAUAUUGUUG